UAUUUAUUUGAACUAUUUCACUUUGCUGCAUAUUCGGGUGGACAAACAGUUUGGCAUUUGUCAUGGCUGCCCGAGCGCCAGCCACUGCAAUCAAUCAAUCAGUCCGGCCACAGGCAUGGUCCGGACAUGUGAAAUAAAUAAAGAAACAGCAGUGCAUUUAUGUAUGUACAUUUAUCUCUCUACUGGUACAGCAUUGUGGUCUCUGCUGAAACAGAAUAAAUGGAGCAUAGGUAAAUACAGGCUUAACCCAUUGAAAGGG
Molecule: long non-coding RNA, 259 nt
Organism: Drosophila guanche
Lineage: Eukaryota; Metazoa; Arthropoda; Insecta; Diptera; Drosophilidae
Exons: 2
Source: RefSeq, a predicted model, not a curated record